This 1368-nucleotide ribosomal RNA is filed under the name uncultured bacterium. RNAcentral describes it as "bacterial SSU rRNA". It matches the Rfam family "Bacterial small subunit ribosomal RNA". The record is from RNAcentral.
AGAGUUUGAUCCUGGCUCAGGACGAACGCUGGCGGCGCGCCUAACACAUGCAAGUCGAACGAGCGAGAGAGAGCUUGCUUUCUCGAGCGAGUGGCGAACGGGUGAGUAACGCGUGAGGAACCUGCCUCAAAGAGGGGGACAACAGUUGGAAACGACUGCUAAUACCGCAUAAGCCCACGGUGCCGCAUGGCACAGAGGGAAAAGGAGCAAUCCGCUUUGAGAUGGCCUCGCGUCCGAUUAGCUAGUUGGUGAGGUAAUGGCCCACCAAGGCGACGAUCGGUAGCCGGACUGAGAGGUUGAACGGCCACAUUGGGACUGAGACACGGCCCAGACUCCUACGGGAGGCAGCAGUGGGGAAUAUUGCACAAUGGGGGAAACCCUGAUGCAGCGACGCCGCGUGGAGGAAGAAGGUCUUCGGAUUGUAAACUCCUGUUGUUGAGGAAGAUAAUGACGGUACUCAACAAGGAAGUGACGGCUAACUACGUGCCAGCAGCCGCGGUAAAACGUAGGUCACAAGCGUUGUCCGGAAUUACUGGGUGUAAAGGGAGCGCAGGCGGGAAGACAAGUUGGAAGUGAAAUCUAUGGGCUCAACCCAUAAACUGCUUUCAAAACUGUUUUUCUUGAGUAGUGCAGAGGUAGGCGGAAUUCCCGGUGUAGCGGUGGAAUGCGUAGAUAUCGGGAGGAACACCAGUGGCGAAGGCGGCCUACUGGGCACCAACUGACGCUGAGGCUCGAAAGUGUGGGUAGCAAACAGGAUUAGAUACCCUGGUAGUCCACACCGUAAACGAUGAUUACUAGGUGUUGGAGGAUUGACCCCUUCAGUGCCGCAGUUAACACAAUAAGUAAUCCACCUGGGGAGUACGACCGCAAGGUUGAAACUCAAAGGAAUUGACGGGGGCCCGCACAAGCAGUGGAGUAUGUGGUUUAAUUCGACGCAACGCGAAGAACCUUACCAAGUCUUGACAUCCUCUGACGAACGUAGAAAUACGUUUUCUCUUCGGAGCAGAGAGACAGGUGGUGCAUGGUUGUCGUCAGCUCGUGUCGUGAGAUGUUGGGUUAAGUCCCGCAACGAGCGCAACCCUUAUGGUCAGUUACUACGCAAGAGGACUCUGGUCAGACUGCCGUUGACAAAACGGAGGAAGGUGGGGAUGACGUCAAAUCAUCAUGCCCUUUAUGACUUGGGCUACACACGUACUACAAUGGCGUUAAACAAAGAGAAGCAAGACCGCGAGGUGGAGCAAAACUCAGAAACAACGUCCCAGUUCGGACUGCAGGCUGCAACUCGCCUGCACGAAGUCGGAAUUGCUAGUAAUCGCAGAUCAGCAUGCUGCGGUGAAUACGUUCCCGGGCCUUGACACACCGCCCGUC